This 399-nucleotide ribosomal RNA is filed under the name Triticum aestivum (bread wheat). RNAcentral's name for it is "partial small subunit ribosomal RNA". The record is from RNAcentral. Lineage: Eukaryota; Viridiplantae; Streptophyta; Magnoliopsida; Poales; Poaceae.
AUGGCCAUGGAGGCGUUUGCAUUCCCGGACGAUGUCCACCUUACUCCUGAUUUGAGAGAUAGAAAGGUGAUAACUGAAACUGAUGACCAAUUAGUGAAUUCUUGGCAUAAGGCCAUGGACUCAUGGAUCAUUAUAAACACUCAUAGAGCUUCACGUGGAUUCCAUGCUACCGGCGUGAAGAGGAUGUCAGGGCACGGCCAUGAUGAGCCAUACUACCUCCACGCCAAGCACAUGUACAACUUGCACAGGAUGAAGCAUCAGAAGCUGACUGCAUGGACUUCGGUGCUGGGAGCCGCUGUGGAGAAACCCUGCAGUGUGAUCCAAUUGUUGUUUGCGUUCCUCUUGGCACCUGUUGACGCCUCUUUUGCACUUCGCAUCACUUUAUAUGCUGUCAGAUAA